GAAUUGACGGGACCCGCACAAGCAGCGGAGCGUGUGGUUUAAUUCGUUGCUACACGAAGAACCUUACCUGGGUUUGACAUAUAGGUUGUAGGGAACUGAAAAGGGACCGACCCUUCGGGGAGCCUAUACAGGUGUUGCAUGGCUGUCGUCAGCUCGUGUCGUGAGAUGUUCGGUUAAGUCCGCUAACGAGCGCAACCCUCGUCGUAUGUUAUAUGUGUCAUACGAGACUGCCGGUAAAAGCCGGAGGAAGGUGAGGAUGAUGUCAAGUCAGCAUGACCUUUAUAUCCAGGGCUACACACACGCUACAAUGGUCUGUACAAUGGGUAGCCAAGCCGCGAGGCGGAGCCAAUCCUGAAAGCAGGCCUCAGUUCAGAUUGCAGUCUGCAACUCGACUGCAUGAAGCCGGAGUUGCUAGUAACCGCAGGUCAGCAAUACUGCGGUGAAUACGUUCCCGGGUCUU
Molecule: ribosomal RNA, 460 nt
Filed under: uncultured Anaerolineaceae bacterium
Lineage: Bacteria; Bacillati; Chloroflexota; Anaerolineae; Anaerolineales; Anaerolineaceae
Description: bacterial SSU rRNA
Rfam family: Bacterial small subunit ribosomal RNA
Source: RNAcentral